AUGCUCACUUUGGCAGCACAUAUACUAAAAUUGGAACGACAGAGAAGAUUAACAUGGUCCCUGCACAAGGAUGACACACAAAUUCGUAAAGUGUGUCAUAUUAAA
RNAcentral lists this small nuclear RNA (105 nucleotides) under Carlito syrichta (Philippine tarsier). Lineage: Eukaryota; Metazoa; Chordata; Mammalia; Primates; Tarsiidae. The record is from RNAcentral.